UACGGAGGGUGCAAGCGUUGCUCGGAAUCAUUGGGCGUAAAGCGUACGCAGGCUGUUCGUUAAGUCGGGUGUGAAAGCCCGGGGCUCAACCCCGGAAAUGCGCCCGAAACUGGCGAGCUUGAGUGCGGGAGAGGGAAGCGGAAUUCCUGGUGUAGAGGUGAAAUUCGUAGAUAUCAGGAGGAACACCGGUGGCGAAAGCGGCUCCUGGCCCGACACUGACGCUCAUGUACGAAAGCGUGGGGAGCAAACAGG
Molecule: ribosomal RNA, 252 nt
Filed under: uncultured bacterium
Lineage: Bacteria
Description: partial 16S ribosomal RNA
Rfam family: Bacterial small subunit ribosomal RNA
Source: RNAcentral